GAUGAACGCUGGCGGCGUGCCUAAUACAUGCAAGUCGAGCGAACAGACGAGGAGCUUGCUCCUCUGACGUUAGCGGCGGACGGGUGAGUAACACGUGGAUAACCUACCUAUAAGACUGGGAUAACUUCGGGAAACCGGAGCUAAUACCGGAUAAUAUAUUGAACCGCAUGGUUCAAUAGUGAAAGACGGUUUUGCUGUCACUUAUAGAUGGAUCCGCGCCGCAUUAGCUAGUUGGUAAGGUAACGGCUUACCAAGGCAACGAUGCGUAGCCGACCUGAGAGGGUGAUCGGCCACACUGGAACUGAGACACGGUCCAGACUCCUACGGGAGGCAGCAGUAGGAAUCUUCCGCAAUGGGCGAAAGCCUGACGGAGCAACGCCGCGUGAGUGAUGAAGGUCUUCGGAUCGUAAAACUCUGUUAUUAGGGAAGAACAAAUGUGUAAGUAACUAUGCACGUCUUGACGGUACCUAAUCAGAAAGCCACGGCUAACUACGUG
Molecule: ribosomal RNA, 496 nt
Filed under: uncultured bacterium
Lineage: Bacteria
Description: partial 16S ribosomal RNA
Rfam family: Bacterial small subunit ribosomal RNA
Source: RNAcentral